This 465-nucleotide ribosomal RNA is filed under the name Triticum aestivum (bread wheat). RNAcentral describes it as "partial small subunit ribosomal RNA". Lineage: Eukaryota; Viridiplantae; Streptophyta; Magnoliopsida; Poales; Poaceae. The record is from RNAcentral.
AUGAUUAGUGUAUGGUCAAAUCAGAGGCGUCACAUCACCAUUGCAACUGCCACAUGGAAUGAUGCACUAGUCCGAUCGGUUUUUUUACCAAUUGAUGUUGAGGCAAUAUUGAGCAUACCCCUCUGCACAAGAAACAUCUCUGACUUCUGGGCAUGGAGUGCUGAGAAGAAGGGUGACUUUUCAGUUAGAUCGGCGUACAGGCUGAUAAUGCAUACAAAGAUCGUGAGGGAAUGGUGGAUAGACGAGGAGGAGGGAACUUCGGGGGCUGGGAGUGACAUCAGUUCGUGGUCGUCCCUAUGGGAAGUGGAGCUACCACCAAAGAUCAAACUCUUUCUGUGGAUACUGGCAAGAAGUUCGAUCCCGACCGUAGAUGUUCUUGUACACAGAAAUAUGAGCAUUUCCGAAGCAUGCAAGCUCUGUGGCGCUCGGGAUUCUUGGCGGCAUACGAUGUUGGACUGCACUAAC